This 1002-nucleotide long non-coding RNA is filed under the name Piliocolobus tephrosceles (Ugandan red Colobus). Its description in RNAcentral is "lncRNA (ENSPTEG00000005605.1)". Lineage: Eukaryota; Metazoa; Chordata; Mammalia; Primates; Cercopithecidae. The record is from RNAcentral.
GAAUAUCCUAAUGAACCGAAUACUGAAUAUCCUAAUGAACCGAAUACUGAAUAUCCUAAUGAACCGAAUACUGAAUAUCCUAAUGAACCGAAUACUGAAUAUCCUAAUGAACCGAAUACUGAAUAUCCUAAUGAACCGAAUACUGAAUAUCCUAAUGAACCGAAUACUGAUGUUAUAGUUUUUAACAAAUUGGAAUCACAUAACAUAGAUAUAAUCUCGUAUAGGCCUAGUUUUGAAAUAAAAAUUGAUAUUGUUAACUUUUUAUCAUUUUUAAAAAAUGCUUUUGAAAAACCAGGAAAUAUCAAAAGUGCGAUAGAAAAAGAUAGCUUACUACAAAAUAUAGUACCAAAUUAUUAUUCUCCUAUUGAACUAUUUAAUUUUGUUUUUAAAAAUGAUUUUUAUUAUGCAUCAGAAAUUCAUACAAAUUUCGAAAAAAAUAGUUGUAUGAAUUCGAAUUAUAAUUUAAAUCGACAUAAGAAAAUACAAGAACUAUUCGAUAGUUUUGAAAAUAAUCUAAAACUUAUAACGUCUGAGAAAUUGGUUCAGCUACGUAUAAAGACAAUUAUAAAGGCUUUUAUUAUUUCGAUAUUUAAAUUAUCUUACAAUAAUAAUAUAUUGUUUGUAUCGUUCACAAAUGAGUUUAAAGACGUCCCUAAAGAUUUUCUUUGUUUUAUAAACUUUUUUUUAUUUUUCCAUUAUUUUAUAUUAUUUUUAAUUGAAAAAAUUAGAACUACAUCUAGAGAAGCCUUUUCUUUAAAAGGGUAUUAUACUAUUUCGGUAAGAACAUAGCUAUAUACAAUACAAGUGGAUAUAUACAUAUACAUUGGCUGUGUUAUUCGAUACUUACGUAAAAAAAAAAAAAAAAAAAUACACAUUUUAUUUUUAUACAUAUAUAUAUAUAUAUAUAUCUAUUUGUAGCAAACGUACUGUUUGAUGUGAUAAUAUGUAUAUUGUAACGCAUUGUUCAUAUACACAUAUAUAGACUUAACACCUUCUAGUUGU